CGCGUAGGUGGUUUUGUAAGUCGGAUGUGAAAGCCCCGGGCUCAACCUGGGAAUUGCAUUCGAUACUGCAUGACUAGAGUAUGGUAGAGGGAAGAGGAAUUCCGGGUGUAGCGGUGAAAUGCGUAGAUAUCCGGAGGAACAUCAGUGGCGAAGGCGACUUCCUGGACCAAUACUGACACUGAGGUGCGAAAGCGUGGGGAGCAAACA
Molecule: ribosomal RNA, 207 nt
Filed under: uncultured bacterium
Lineage: Bacteria
Description: partial 16S ribosomal RNA
Rfam family: Bacterial small subunit ribosomal RNA
Source: RNAcentral